CUCCUCUGCUCCUUGCCCAGAUCGGCACCGCCGCCAGCGACGGGAAAGAUGCCGCUGCUAGAUCCUCCACACUCUCUCUCCCCUGACGUGAAUCCCCAUAUUAUCCCCAUGAAUUUCAGCCUCAACUCUCUAAUCCCCCUCUGUGUGUGUGUUCUUUUGGCUUACAGGUCAAACCCUAUUGGGGAUGUGAUUUCCCUACUCCAGAUUGAAGUGGUUGGCGUUGGGCGCCGCCGUGAUGCUGGAUGGUGCAGGUCAGAGCUCCAGUGCGUGUCCGUGGAGCAGAUCCACCAUGGGUGCAGAACCGAAUGGUCCUUGUCCUGAGCUUGCGGUCUUCAACUUCUAAGAUCUUCAAUGGUCGUUCUUCAUACGUCAGGGUCUUUUGGAGAUGGGUGAUGCCCCAGGCAUUAAAACAAUGCUGAACUCUAACUCCCUAUCAGGCGGCAUACCCGGCAGUUCAUCCGGAAAUACAUCAGGAAACUCACAAACUGCAGGUCUGCUGAAAAUUUGGUGUUGUGGAUUAUUAUUGGUUGAUUUCUGCGCAUUGCCUCUACUGUAAUCUUCCCUCCAGGUGAGUUAACUCCUAAAGCCUUUUCCAACGGUGUGCAUGUUAAUCCAUUCUUAUUCACGAAAUCUUGGGAAAUAAAUGAGUGUGUGGCACCGGUAUA
This is a long non-coding RNA of Triticum aestivum (bread wheat), 665 nucleotides long. RefSeq lists it as uncharacterized. The transcript is spliced from 4 exons. The record is from RefSeq and is a predicted model, not a curated record. Lineage: Eukaryota; Viridiplantae; Streptophyta; Magnoliopsida; Poales; Poaceae.